UAACACGUGGGUAACCUGCCCAAGAGACUGGGAUAACACCUGGAAACAGAUGCUAAUACCGGAUAACAACACUAGACGCAUGUCUAGAGUUUAAAAGAUGGUUCUGCUAUCACUCUUGGAUGGACCUGCGGUGCAUUAGCUAGUUGGUAAGGUAACGGCUUACCAAGGCAAUGAUGCAUAGCCUAGUUUAGAGACUGAUCGGCCACAUUGGGACUGAGACACGGUCCAAACUCCUACGGGAGGCAGCAGAA
This 251-nucleotide ribosomal RNA is filed under the name uncultured bacterium. Its description in RNAcentral is "partial 16S ribosomal RNA". It matches the Rfam family "Bacterial small subunit ribosomal RNA", at positions 111 to 354 of the family's 1533-position model. The record is from RNAcentral.